Molecule: ribosomal RNA, 573 nt
Filed under: Triticum aestivum (bread wheat)
Lineage: Eukaryota; Viridiplantae; Streptophyta; Magnoliopsida; Poales; Poaceae
Description: partial small subunit ribosomal RNA
Source: RNAcentral
AUGACGGCAGAAACAGAUAGAGUAACGCAGAAUAUAGUAGCUGAUUACGUCAACAAUACUCCUGAAACCACCAACUUGGUGAAGAUUAAGGACAAAAUGCUAAUGCAGAAGUAUCUUCAAUGCCUCACAACACCAGAUCCUUCAUCAUUUGCAGCGUGGGUGGAUGAUGGUGUAGGUUUUUCUACGCUACUGAGGAAAGCAGAGGAGGAUAAUCAGAUCCGAGGUAUCAAGCUAGCCCCAACAACACCAAGAGUGAAUCAUCUUUUGUUCGCCGACGAUUCCCUGCUGGUAAUGGAAGCAAAUGUCCAAGCUACACAAACAAUGAAUCAUGUCCUGCAAGUGUAUGAGGAGUGCUCGGGUCAAAUGAUCCAUAGAGAAAAAUCCUCAGUCAUGUUUAGCUCUAACGCUAGCCAGUCUUUCAAGAACUUGAUGUUGCGGGAGCUCCAGCUGGGUACAAUUGCAAAUGGUGGGAAAUACCUUGGUCUGCCAACUUACAUCGGUAAAUUAAAAAAAGAGUGUUUCAACUACAUUAAAGACAACAUCACGGGAAGACUGCAGGGUGGGUUGGAUUGA